RNAcentral lists this ribosomal RNA (439 nucleotides) under Alteromonas sp. RNAcentral describes it as "bacterial SSU rRNA". It matches the Rfam family "Bacterial small subunit ribosomal RNA", at positions 397 to 828 of the family's 1533-position model. Lineage: Bacteria; Pseudomonadati; Pseudomonadota; Gammaproteobacteria; Alteromonadales; Alteromonadaceae. The record is from RNAcentral.
CCGCGUGUGUGAAGAAGGCCUUCGGGUUGUAAAGCACUUUCAGUUGUGAGGAAAAGUUAGUAGUUAAUACCUGCUAGCCGUGACGUUAACAACAGAAGAAGCACCGGCUAACUCCGUGCCAGCAGCCGCGGUAAUACGGAGGGUGCGAGCGUUAAUCGGAAUUACUGGGCGUAAAGCGCACGCAGGCGGUUUGUUAAGCUAGAUGUGAAAGCCCCGGGCUCAACCUGGGAUGGUCAUUUAGAACUGGCAGACUAGAGUCUUGGAGAGGGGAGUGGAAUUCCAGGUGUAGCGGUGAAAUGCGUAGAUAUCUGGAGGAACAUCAGUGGCGAAGGCGACUCCCUGGCCAAAGACUGACGCUCAUGUGCGAAAGUGUGGGUAGCGAACAGGAUUAGAUACCCUGGUAGUCCACACCGUAAACGCUGUCUACUAGCUGUGUGUG